Molecule: long non-coding RNA, 211 nt
Organism: Serinus canaria (Common canary)
Lineage: Eukaryota; Metazoa; Chordata; Aves; Passeriformes; Fringillidae
Exons: 3
Source: RefSeq, a predicted model, not a curated record
GGGAAGGUUUGGGAAGGGAAGGUUUGGGAAGGGAAGGUUUGGGAAGGGAAGGUUUGGGAAGGGAAGGUUUGGGAAGGGAAGGUUUGGGAAGGGAAGGUUUGGGAAGGGAAGGUUUGGGAAGGGAAGGUUUGGGAAGGGAAGGUUUGGGAAGGGAAGGUUUGGGAAGGGAAGGUUUGGGAAGGUUUGGGAAGGGAAGGGAAGGGAAGGGAAG